AGACUGGCAGGGGAGACACCGUGAUCAGGCAGGUGGUUUUCCUAGGGCAAGGCUCAUCCCCUGCACUCCGGGUGUGCUGACCCCUGUGAUUUCCCCAAAUGCGGGAAACUCGGCUGCAUAAUUUGUGGUAGUGGGGGACUGCAUUCGUGUUUUUAUUUU
Molecule: small nuclear RNA, 159 nt
Filed under: Pygoscelis adeliae (Adelie penguin)
Lineage: Eukaryota; Metazoa; Chordata; Aves; Sphenisciformes; Spheniscidae
Description: U1 spliceosomal RNA
Rfam family: U1 spliceosomal RNA
About the family: U1 is a small nuclear RNA (snRNA) component of the spliceosome (involved in pre-mRNA splicing).
Source: Rfam by way of RNAcentral